This 1053-nucleotide long non-coding RNA is filed under the name Malus domestica (apple). Its description in RNAcentral is "long non-coding RNA (MDOM_LNC001217)". Lineage: Eukaryota; Viridiplantae; Streptophyta; Magnoliopsida; Rosales; Rosaceae. The record is from RNAcentral.
UGUUCCCGUCACAAUUAAAAAUUUCUCGUAUUUAAGGCAUGCUAAUUCUAGAUUGACAAAUAUGUAUAUUGUAGGUUGUAGACAGUUGACUUAAUGCAUAUUAAUAAUAGUUUAACAAAUAUACAUAGGUAAGACAAGUGGAUGACUGUCUGGUGGUUAUGAUUUUUCUCUUCUCUUCACUGCAUUUUGGGCUCAAACUUAUCUCCAUCUCAAACACAAACGAUUCUAAUAGCAAUACUGGAUAUUAAAGUCGUAGGCGAAAACUAAAAACAAUCUCAAAUAAAACAGGAGAAUUACGUGGUUUGGUGUGGAAGCCUGUGUGUAUAUGCGAAGCAUGGUAAGAAAAUUCCACUAAACAAGCCUAACAAAACCAAACGAAAACGGAGAAGACUCUCCCAAACCGCUCUAUAACUCUCAAACUUACAAAGUGGCUCUGACAAAACUGUCACAAAUUUGCCACUACAAAAUAAACCAUCCUUAAAGUUCGAUUUAUAGAGUAUAGAAACGAGGGUUACAUAGGAAUGUAAUCAGGGAACGAAACUCAAUCCAUAUAGGACACAACUUAGCCUAAAUAUAAUUCCAAAAUGAAGCGGCCCGCAAAAAUUUUCGAUCCACGCACUCGAAUCGCCCACCACGAUCUCUAUGGUACCUACUAAAAUCCUCGUCGGUGCUUACUCACUGGACCUCUUGGUUGUCCAGCUCCAAAUGGUUCUAUUUUUGAGCUAUACCACAAUCACCUCUCCUAAAACUCAACAUCCCCCACCGCCCCACGCAAUCUCACCACCACUUCUCGUCCAAGAAACCGCCAAACGCACUCUCUCAAUCUCACAACUUCAAUUUCACAUUUGGUUCCAUAGAAAGAGAGAGAAAAUGAGGCUGAUGGGGUUGGGCAAGCUUUUGGAUUUUCUGAAUUAUUAUUUUUUAUUUUUCUAAUUUUAUUAAGUUAGCGCUAUUAUGUUCAAGGGUUAUGUGUCAAAAUAUACGAGAUUGACACUUAUUUGGCAUGCAGCAUUUUUUAUCACCAUCAUGCUAUGAUGUAUAUACUCACCACAU